This is a long non-coding RNA of Apis dorsata (giant honeybee), 442 nucleotides long. RefSeq lists it as uncharacterized. The transcript has 2 exons. The record is from RefSeq and is a predicted model, not a curated record. Lineage: Eukaryota; Metazoa; Arthropoda; Insecta; Hymenoptera; Apidae.
CAAAAUAUAUCUAAUACAUUUAUUUUCAUUAUCAUCUAAUUCUAAAGUUUAAACAAAAUACAGGAAUUAUGAUUUUGAAAAUGAUAGGGCAUCAAAAUACAUUGAGCCGAUCCUGACCUUACUCCAUCUUGUUUCCGCUAAAAUCGCGUCAAAGUCGUAGAUUCAUGGCGUCGAUGUGUGGCUACGAAUUCACAAGAUCUAUCGCUCGGUACGCCAUUGAGGCUAGAGAAAGCGAUUUCCUGCACUCGUACUGUUUCGUCGAAAACGAAGUUUCAUGACUGUUUCAUAUUGAAAAUGUUUUGAAUAAGAAACAGUUAUUGAGUAUUCUAUAUCGCUGAUUUAUAGUCACGUGAUAAUUUAUAUUCUAUGUACAGUGUCCAUACACAAAAUCCUAGAUUGUAAUUACUGCUAAAUAAAUAUACAAUUAAUUAAAAGCGUAAAA